UACGUAGGGGGCUAGCGUUGUCCGGAAUCAUUGGGCGUAAAGAGCGUGUAGGCGGCCCGGUAAGUCCGCUGUGAAAGUCGGGGGCUCAACCCUCGAAUGCCGGUGGAUACUGUCGGGCUAGAGUGCGGAAGAGGCGAGUGGAAUUCCUGGUGUAGCGGUGAAAUGCGCAGAUAUCAGGAGGAACACCAAUUGCGAAGGCAGCUUACUAAGCUGUAACUGACGCUGAGGCACGAAAGCGUGGGGAUCGAACAGG
This 253-nucleotide ribosomal RNA is filed under the name uncultured bacterium. RNAcentral's name for it is "partial 16S ribosomal RNA". It matches the Rfam family "Bacterial small subunit ribosomal RNA", at positions 524 to 776 of the family's 1533-position model. The record is from RNAcentral.